GUGGGGAAUAUUGCGCAAUGGACGAAAGUCUGACGCAGCGACGCCGCGUGAGUGAUGAAGGCCUUAGGGUCGUAAAGCUCUGUUGAAUGGGAAGAAAAAAAUGACGGUACCAUUCGAGGAAGGACCGGCUAACUUCGUGCCAGCAGCCGCGGUAAUACGAGGGGUCCUAGCGUUGUUCGGAAUCAUUGGGCGUAAAGGGUGUGUAGGUGGCCAUGUAAGUCAGGUGUGAAAGCCCCGGGCUCAACCCGGGAAGUGCACUUGAUACUGCGUGGCUUGAGUACCGAAGAGGGAAGUGGAAUUCCAGGUGUAGUGGUGAAAUACGUAGAUAUCUGGAGGAACACCGGUGGCGAAGGCGGCUACCUGGUCGAGUACUGACACUGAGACACGAAAGCAUGGGGAUCAAACAGGAUUAGAUACCCCGGUAGUCC
This 428-nucleotide ribosomal RNA is filed under the name uncultured bacterium. RNAcentral's name for it is "bacterial SSU rRNA". It matches the Rfam family "Bacterial small subunit ribosomal RNA", at positions 354 to 796 of the family's 1533-position model. The record is from RNAcentral.